UGGAUAAUUGAUUUCAGAACCACGUCAUCAUAACUCACUGGUAUAUAAACUGGUAGGCCGCACCAAUAAGCUUAUUAAUUUCCCGAAGUCUUAUACGGAGUAGUCUGAUUUUCAGUUUUAUCUUUCAGUUAAAAUGGAUUGCCAAGUGCAUGGAUUCACCAAGAACCCUUUUUUUCUCGAGUUCACAACUGUACAACGGGUUGUCGAUUCGGGCUGCAGUUUUAGAACUGAUUUUAACGCGUGUCAGCUGAAGUGGAAUGUUCAAGAGUGUCAUCUGAAGUGGAAUGUGCAAGAAUGUCAAUAAUGUGUUCUAAAAUUCUCAACAUGAAGUAACUUGAACGUUUGAUUUCAGUUCAUGGAAUUCCAAAAUCUAUGUUUGCAACUAUUGCUAACGUUUCGGUUUGAUAUUAAGGGAAAACAUUUUCGAACAUGGAAAAACGACCCAUAAAAUAUGAGAAGAAAAAAACAACAUUUAUUCAGUAAAUUGGACUUUCAACUUCGGAAAAAAUACAACAAAAGAGUCAUUGGAACGUGGGAGAAAGACGGAAAAAAGUGAGAGAGAAUGUCAGAAUUGUUAUUCUGGACUAAUAUUCUGACGAAUAGAACACUGGAAAACAUCACCGGGGACAAUAAGGACAAAACGCAUGCAGUCAUUAUCAUUUUCGUCACACUUGAACCAUAAUAACAGUCUACUUUCGGACUUUUGGUUUUUGUAUUAUCGAUGUACUGUUAUUAUUACACAUGCAGAAAGAUCAGGGAAAAAUUGGUAUUUUGAAAAAAAAGAUUGAAAAAUAAAUAUAUCGUCAGAAUA
This is a long non-coding RNA of Mizuhopecten yessoensis (Yesso scallop), 811 nucleotides long. RefSeq lists it as uncharacterized. The record is from RefSeq and is a predicted model, not a curated record. NCBI's taxonomy places the organism in Eukaryota, Metazoa, Mollusca, Bivalvia, Pectinida, Pectinidae. The transcript is spliced from 2 exons.